GACGAACGCUGGCGGCGUGCCUAAUACAUGCAAGUCGAGCGGACUGAAUGGGAGCUUGCUCUUGUUCGGUCAGCGGCGGACGGGUGAGUAACACGUGGGCAACCUGCCCGCAAGACCGGGAUAACUCCGGGAAACCGGAGCUAAUACCGGAUAACACCGAAGACCGCAUGGUCUUUGGUUGAAAGGCGGCGCAAGCUGCCACUUGCGGAUGGGCCCGCGGCGCAUUAGCUAGUUGGUGAGGUAACGGCGCACCAAGGCGACGAUGGGUAGCCGGCCUGAGGGGGUGGCCGGCCAAACUGGGACUGAGACACGGCACAGACGCCUACGGGAGGCAGCAGUAGGGAAUCUGCCGCAAUGGGGGAAAGCCUGACGGAGCGACGCCGCGUGAGCGAAGAAGGCCUUCGGGUCGUAAAGCUCUGUUGUGAGGGACGAAGGAGCGCCGUUUGAAGAAGGCGGCGCGGUGACGGUACCUCACGAGGAAGCCCCGGCUAACUACGUG
RNAcentral lists this ribosomal RNA (499 nucleotides) under uncultured bacterium. RNAcentral's name for it is "partial 16S ribosomal RNA". It matches the Rfam family "Bacterial small subunit ribosomal RNA", at positions 28 to 507 of the family's 1533-position model. The record is from RNAcentral.